Molecule: ribosomal RNA, 418 nt
Filed under: uncultured bacterium
Lineage: Bacteria
Description: bacterial SSU rRNA
Rfam family: Bacterial small subunit ribosomal RNA
Source: RNAcentral
AACGAACGCUGGCGGCGUGGAUAAGACAUGCAAGUCGUGCGGAGAUUUGCGGGUAGCAAUAUUUGCAAAUUUUUAGCGGCGAACGGGUGAGGAAUACAUGGGUAACCUACCCUCGAGUGGGGAAUAACUAGCCGAAAGGUUAGCUAAUACCGCGUACGCUCCUUGGACUUCGGUUCAGGGAGGAAAGCGAUACCGUGGGUAUCGCGCUCUUGGUUGGGCUCAUGUCCUAUCAGCUUGUUGGGAGGUAACGGCUCACCAAGGCUUCGACGGGUAGCUGGUCUGAGAGGACGAUCAGCCACACUGGCACUGCGACACGGGCCAGACUCCUACGGGAGGCAGCAGUAAGGAAUAUUGCGCAAUGGGCGAAAAGCCUGACGCAGCGACGCCGCGUGGGGGAUGAAGGUCUUCGGAUUGUAAA